UAUUGACAUAAGGGAUUCGUUCUGAGAACCGGCGCUGACUGCUAAAUAAGCAUUCAUGCCUAAUUUUUUCAUUUGUUCUUCAUUGAUAACCCGUGUAUUGAUAUUUGUACUGAACUCAUUUGCUAAUUGACGCGCAUGUAAUGAUAAGUAUUCAGAAUUACAAAUAUUGGGUGGCAUAUUGCUAAUAUCUUUAGC
RNAcentral lists this antisense RNA (195 nucleotides) under Candidatus Pantoea carbekii. RNAcentral describes it as "Yersinia sRNA 276". It matches the Rfam family "Yersinia sRNA 276". Lineage: Bacteria; Pseudomonadati; Pseudomonadota; Gammaproteobacteria; Enterobacterales; Erwiniaceae. The record is from Rfam by way of RNAcentral.